AAACAAAUCAGUGCUGUUAUUUUAUUUGUUUUAAUGAAGAAAAAGUGGUCACAAGGAAAUGGGGAAGGAAAAAGCUACAGAUCUAAGAAAAUGGACAGAAGAAAAUAUCAAAAAAGCUAUAGAAGAUGUCAUAAAAAUGUAUUUUGAUAUGUGUUUUGAGAUGUUGUUGAAAGUGUUGACUGAAAAUGAUUUAAUUGGUAAGCCUGAAAUAAUUUUCAACAUGGACGAAAGUGGCAUUCAAAUUAACAAUAAAACAAGAAUCGAAGGAAAGGAAAGAAGACAAAAAAAAUUAGAUGCUUUACUGAGGCACAUAUGACUGAUGUAUCCGUGGAAUGUGCCCCACCCUAGACUUUAAAAAAUCGUUGAUCUUAGCUAUUUUAAUUACUUUUAAGAAGUUUUUUUUUCUGUAUUGUUAUACCUAUUGAGUCAGAGGUUAAGGCUAAUUACUUUAAUACACAUGUUUUAAAUAA
This 470-nucleotide long non-coding RNA is filed under the name Helicoverpa zea (corn earworm). Its description in RNAcentral is "uncharacterized LOC124633866". Lineage: Eukaryota; Metazoa; Arthropoda; Insecta; Lepidoptera; Noctuidae. The record is from RNAcentral.